GCGUAAUAGCUCACUGGUCUAGUGAUUCUGCGCGGAAAAUAUAACGGGGCUAAAAUGAGUACCGAAGCUUUAGACUUGCACUUAAUUCUAAUUAUAAAUUUGGCUAAGAGCUUUUAAGUUAUAUUUCUCAUAAUUUAAUUGCACUCAUAUAAAUUAAAUUAUGAGAAAAUAGUUUAGCUAAAAUAAUUAGAAGUAAUUAGAAUUAAGUGCAAGUGGUUGGAGAGCGUUCUAUUCAGCGUUGAAGGUAUACCGGUAAGGAGUGCUGGAGCGGAUAGAAGUGAGCAUGCAGGCAUGAGUAGCGAUAAUUGAUGUGAGAAUCAUCAACGCCGGAAACCCAAGGUUUCCUACGCGAUGCUCGUCAUCGUAGGGUUAGUCGGGUCCUAAGCAAAGUCCGAAAGGGNAUGCGAUGGAAAAUUGGUUAAUAUUCCAAUACCAAUUAUUAUGUGCGAUGGAAGGACGCUUAAAGUUAGUGGAGCUAGCGGAUGGAAGUGCUAGUCUAAGGGUGUAGGUUGAGUUAUAGGCAAAUCCGUAACUCUUUAUCCGAGACCUAAAAGGCUCAUGACGCUCUUCGGAGUAGAUUGAGAAUCCAUGAUACUAUCGAGCCAAGAAAAGUUUCUAAGUUUAGUAAUAAUUGCCCGUACCGUAAACCGACACAGGUGGGUGGGAUGAGUAUUCUAAGGCGCGUGGAAGAACUCUCUUUAAGGAACUCUGCAAAAUAGCACCGUAUCUUUGGUAUAAGGUGUGCCUAACUUUGUAUUAAGAUUCACUCCCAAAGCAAAGAAGGUUACAACAAAGAGUCCCUCCCGACUGUUUACCAUAAACACAGCACUCUGCUAACACGUAAGUGGAUGUAUAGGGUGUGACGCCUGCCCGGUGCUCGAAGGUUAAUUGAUGAUGUUAGCUAUGC
This 907-nucleotide ribosomal RNA is filed under the name Campylobacter fetus. Its description in RNAcentral is "bacterial LSU rRNA". It matches the Rfam family "Bacterial large subunit ribosomal RNA", at positions 1132 to 1900 of the family's 2925-position model. Lineage: Bacteria; Pseudomonadati; Campylobacterota; Epsilonproteobacteria; Campylobacterales; Campylobacteraceae. The record is from RNAcentral.